This 531-nucleotide ribosomal RNA is filed under the name uncultured bacterium. RNAcentral describes it as "bacterial SSU rRNA". It matches the Rfam family "Bacterial small subunit ribosomal RNA", at positions 28 to 554 of the family's 1533-position model. The record is from RNAcentral.
GAUGAACGCUAGCGGCAGACCUAACACAUGCAAGUCGAGGGGCAGCAGACCACCUCGGUGGUGCUGGCGACCGGCGCACGGGUGAGUAUCGCGUUUGUAACCUACCCUUAACUGGGGAAUAGCCCGAAGAAAUUCGGAUUAAUACCCCAUUAAAUUUUAGCACGGCAUCGUGCUUCCAUUAAAGCUCCGGCGGUUAAGGAUGGGCAUGCGUGACAUUAGUUUGUUGGUGAGGUAACGGCUCACCAAGACUACGAUGUUUAGGGGGUCUGAGAGGAUGGUCCCCCACACUGGUACUGAGACACGGACCAGACUCCUACGGGAGGCAGCAGUGAGGAAUAUUGGUCAAUGGACGCAAGUCUGAACCAGCCAUGCCGCGUGCAGGAAGACGGCUCUAUGAGUUGUAAACUGCUUUUAUACGGGAAUAAACUUAGCUACGUGUAGUUAACUGAAUGUACCGUACGAAUAAGCACCGGCUAACUCCGUGCCAGCAGCCGCGGUAAUACGGAGGGUGCAAGCGUUAUCCGGAUUUGU